GAUACUGCAAUACAGAGUUGAGCUGGUAGAAGCAAUUGAAGGAAGCGAAGAUGCAGUUUCUGUUGUAGUUUCUGCUGUAGUUUCUGCUGUGGUGGUGGGUUAUGGAAUGGUUGGAGCUCAAUCUGAGCUGGUAAUUGCAGAUGCCAUGCGUUUAAUUGGUAGGAGAUUCAGUGACACCACUGUCCCUGCCUACUACAACGAUUCUCAGCGUCAAGCUGCAAAGGAUGUUGGAGCCAUUGCUGGUCUAUGGUCGCCACCAGUGUUGGGGAGAAGAAUGUUUUUAUCUUAGAUCUUGAAGGUGGUACCUUUGAUGUCUCUCUUCUUACUAUUGAGGAGGGUAUCUUUGAAGUUAAAUCUACAGCAGGAGACACUAAUCUUGUUGGUGAGGACUUCGACAACAGAAUGGUGAACCACUUUGUUCAGGAAUUCAAGAGAAAGAACAAGAAGGAUAUCAGUGGAAGCCCCAGGGAUCUUAGAAGAUUGAAAACACCUAGUGAAAGAGCAAAGCGGAUUCCAUCAUCCACUGCCCAGACUACCGUUGAAAUUGACUAUCAUCUAAGGGCUUCUGAAUAUGAGUAGAAGAUUACCAGUACACUGAGAAAAGAGACCAGG
Papaver somniferum (opium poppy) is the source of this 612-nucleotide long non-coding RNA. RefSeq lists it as uncharacterized. The transcript has 3 exons. The record is from RefSeq and is a predicted model, not a curated record. Lineage: Eukaryota; Viridiplantae; Streptophyta; Magnoliopsida; Ranunculales; Papaveraceae.